This is a long non-coding RNA of Penaeus monodon (black tiger shrimp), 623 nucleotides long. RefSeq lists it as uncharacterized. Lineage: Eukaryota; Metazoa; Arthropoda; Malacostraca; Decapoda; Penaeidae. The transcript has 3 exons. The record is from RefSeq and is a predicted model, not a curated record.
GUCAGUAAAAUUGAUUAUCAGAUUUUAAAAAUAUUUUUUGGGAGAGUUUUUUUUUGUUUUGUUUUUAAUGAUAUAUUCUAAAUCAAGCUUGUUUUUUUUAUAUUGUUUUAUUAAGGGAGAAAUUAAAGGUUAUAGAAAUUCUUCAUGAACAAGCGAAUGUACAAAUGUGUGUCUGGACUUCUGGAGAAUAUUAUUAUUCUUUUUUUUCAGCAUUUUUUUUUUUUCCUUUAUUUAAUUGUAUACAAUAUUAUCCUGAACUCGAACUGCCCUGAGAAACAGCUCCGUUUGUUUCCACUUCAACUCCUGUUUUUUUUUUUCAGAUAUACUGCCACAGCAACUUCGGUUCGAUUAAACUAAUGUGCUUCAGUACGAUUAAACUAAUUUGCCGAAUAUGUGAAAAUGGAGACUUUCCGCGGAAGAAAGUUCGAAGAGAAAAUAAAUUAGCAGAGAGAAUAUUUAAAGGAUAUUCCUCACCGUUCUCUUCUCGACGACAUCGCACAUUUCCCGCCAAAAAUCGAGGAGAAAAAUGGCGGACUUCUGUAUAAGCCACAUUUAAAGGCGACUUUGAGGUUUUCUUAUGUACACUGGAAACAAAAAUUCGUUUGAAGAUAUUCCCUAACGAA